RNAcentral lists this unclassified non-coding RNA (332 nucleotides) under soil metagenome. RNAcentral's name for it is "partial contains 5.8S ribosomal RNA, internal transcribed spacer 2, and large subunit ribosomal RNA". The stretch from base 1 to 120 matches the Rfam family "5.8S ribosomal RNA", at positions 35 to 154 of the family's 154-position model. The record is from RNAcentral.
GAUGAAGAACGCAGCGAAAUGCGAUAAGUAGUGUGAAUUGCAGAAUUCAGUGAAUCAUCGAAUCUUUGAACGCACAUUGCGCCCUUUGGUAUUCCUUAGGGCAUGCCUGUUCGAGCGUCAUUUAAACCUUCAAGCUAAGCUUGGUGUUGGGUGACUGUCCGCUUCACUGCGGACUCGCCUCAAAAUUAUUGGCGGUCGGUACAUUGGCUUCGAGCGCAGCAGAAACGCGAACUCGGGCCCGUCGUAUUGGCUCCCAGAAGCUAUCUUCACAAUUUUGACCUCGGAUCAGGUAGGGAUACCCGCUGAACUUAAGCAUAUCAAUAAGCGGAGGA